AAGCCAUGGUGAGGACAAGCGUUGAUAGCUUCCAUGUAUCUUUCCCAACAUUCAUAGAAUUUCUUAUUCUCCUUAUCUGAGAAGUUUGAGAUUUGCCUUUUCAAGUU
This 107-nucleotide small nucleolar RNA is filed under the name Vitis vinifera (wine grape). Its description in RNAcentral is "Plant small nucleolar RNA R71". It matches the Rfam family "Plant small nucleolar RNA R71". From Rfam's summary of the family: R71 is a member of the C/D box family of snoRNAs containing the C (UGAUGA) and D (CUGA) box motifs. Multiple nearly identical copies of this snoRNA have been identified in Arabidopsis, and it is thought to function as a 2'-O-ribose methylation guide for 18S ribosomal RNA. The record is from Rfam by way of RNAcentral. Lineage: Eukaryota; Viridiplantae; Streptophyta; Magnoliopsida; Vitales; Vitaceae.